GAUGAACGCUGGCGGCGUGCCUAAUACAUGCAAGUCGAGCGAACAGACGAGGAGCUUGCUCCUCUGACGUUAGCGGCGGACGGGUGAGUAACACGUGGAUAACCUACCUAUAAGACUGGGAUAACUUCGGGAAACCGGAGCUAAUACCGGAUAAUAUAUUGAACCGCAUGGUUCAAUAGUGAAAGACGGUUUUGCUGUCACUUAUAGAUGGAUCCGCGCCGCAUUAGCUAGUUGGUAAGGUAACGGCUUACCAAGGCAACGAUGCGUAGCCGACCUGAGAGGGGGAUGGGCCAACCGGAAAAGGAACACCGGUCCCAACCCCUAGGGGGGGAAGCAGAGGGGAAUUUUCCGAAAGGGGCGAAAGCCGGAGGGAGCAACGCCGGGGGGGGGAAGAAGGGCUUGGGAUCGUAAAACUCUUUUAUUAGGGAAAAAAAAAUGGUUAAGUACAUAUGCCCGUUUUGAGGGUACCUACUCAAAAAGCCACGGCUAACUACGU
Molecule: ribosomal RNA, 496 nt
Filed under: uncultured bacterium
Lineage: Bacteria
Description: partial 16S ribosomal RNA
Rfam family: Bacterial small subunit ribosomal RNA
Source: RNAcentral